UCUCUAAGCAGGCAAUCCUUUCAUUCUUUAUGACCUUAUAUUACUUUGUUCAUUCUUCUUUUAGGGUAUUUAGUGUAUUUUGCUCUAAUUCCCUUGCUUUAGGUAACUGAAAGGCUUACUAGAAUAUUCAUCCCACAGGUCUAUGAUGGGCUAGCACACAACAUAUAACAGAAAUUCAGUUAAAUGUUUGUUGAAUCAAUUUUAUUGCAUGUUUCCGUAUUCAAGCACCAUGGAGCAACAUAAUGACAAAUGAAUCCUCACCACUGGGCCUUGUGUGGAACUGUGGCAACACCAAAGCUUCAACAAUACAAUGGAAUGUAUUUGUAGGGGAUUUAAUUUACGAAACCUACAUUAACAUCUUAGUCAUGAGUCUUAAAACAAGGAUACCUGCAAAGAAUAUGAAAAAGAAUACUACUGAGUGUCUUUGCUUACUAGCAAAGUUACUCACAGAAGCUGGACAAUGGUCCACGUAAGGACGGAGUAUUUAUAUUGCUGAAGAAGAGCCCUCAGGCUUAGCUCGCAGGUGCAUAGGUGACAGGAUUGGCAUUUUUUUGAAGGUUAAGAAAUUGAAUGCAAUUUCCUCUAGGGAAAGGAUUUCUUUCCUGUUUGAAUGUUGAAGUUGGGCUGAAAAGACCACAAGCCUCACCAGGCAACUUGACACGUCAUAACAAAACCAGGUUAUUUUGAGGAGAUUUUUUUCUCCGAGACCAUUAUGAUGGCUAUAAUUCUAGCUCUUGUGCAAAUGCUUAAGAUCUGGAGCAAAUCAUCUGCUCCUGAAAGCUUCUGCAUUUUUAUUUCGUUUUGUUACUAUUGCACAAAUACAUUGUUUGCUACAAUGAACUAAUUUCUUUGAUGCUAGCCAAAGGUACUUUUACCAUUGUUUGUUUGUAAUAACCAAGAUUUCCUCUGUGAAGGGUGUGAAAUUAAUAAAUACCAAUAGUGAGAACCAUUUGCUAGAAAUUUAGUGUUCAUAAAAAACAAACAGAAAGCAAAUGUUGUGUAUUUACAUAGGCCAGAGCGAUAGCGCCCAUCUGACUCCUGAAAACACAUCCAGCAUUCAUAAGCAUCCAAGAGCCACAGUCACACUCUCCUUCAUUAUGAGAAUGUCCCAUGUCACAGCAGAACCUAUUCCCAGGCUUUUCUUCAUCCGUUCUCCCAGAGGUGGUCUGUGACACCACUGAAAUGCUUUGUGCUUUCAAAGUGAACACAAACAUGGUUUAGUUUCUGUACUUUCACAGGAGGAAAAUGCUGUAUGCUGCAUAUUUAUAUUACAAGCUUCUUCAACUUGCUGCGAACAGUAUUACCAGCAUUUAGUCACUCUCCGGUGCAAACAGCUGACAGCACGUAAGGGGAGGUAGGCAGGGUUCUGGACUUAGGGUUCUCCGUUGGCAGCCUGUUUCAGUGUAAACUCAGUCUGCCCUUCGCUCCGGAAGUGCAGGCUUCCUCUAGGCAGUGCCAGCAUGCCAUUCCUGGGCCUCCUUAGGUCCUGGCUCCUGGGUGUCGGGGUGGGAGAACUAAGCCGUCAGAAAUAAAGAGAUCUGAGAGGAGCAGUCAGAGGACAAGGGAAGAUGGUCUAACUAAAACACAGAUGGCUCUUACGUGGUUUGCAAACGAUUUUGGAGUUAAUUACAAAAGAAAAGUUUUAAAGAUGGUCUAAGUAAUACUACAGUCACCAUAUGGUUUCCCAAAAGGGUAUCAUUUUAAAAAAUAAUCAUUUUGAUUCUGUGAGUUAUGAUAUACUUGCUUUAAAAACCAUUACAAGUUCAUUAGAUAGUAUAAAAAGCACUGUUUAAACAAUGGUUAUAAUCUAUAGAUAAAAUAAUUUGUGGGUCGGGUGCGAUGAAUAACACCUUAAUUUUACAGUGUAAGAUCAAAUCCAACACUACACGCUUCUGUAACAGCCACAAUUAAAAGCUGCUGGCACCUGGUGAGGAAUCGGAUGGAGAGGCCGAAAGCAAAGUUAAAAGCUGGCCUUAGAGUACCUACGUGGAGUCUGGGGAGGAGAGCAGAGGCCUCACCUUAGUCCUCUAGGGAGAGGCGGCAUAGGAUGCAAUCCAGCAGCUGUAGUUCAACAAACCAGUUUCAUGCUGGCUUCUCCCCUUUGUAACUGAGUAACCAACCACCUCUGCAACUAUUUGAUUCUUAAGUCAGUUGCCCUAACUGGCAGUGUAUUCACCAAUCCAAAUUUUUUUCUCACUUAUUGCAGUAAAACUAAGAAAUGAGUCAUAAAGAUAAAUUUAAUCUGACAUGAUAGGGCAUUAAAUUCAGCUUUCAGAUUGGUUUCCAUGUCAUACUUAUUUAUGUAUAAGCACUUUAUAGUUUCUGGAGAUUUGCUUUAUAG
Molecule: long non-coding RNA, 2341 nt
Organism: Octodon degus (degu)
Lineage: Eukaryota; Metazoa; Chordata; Mammalia; Rodentia; Octodontidae
Exons: 3
Source: RefSeq, a predicted model, not a curated record